This 251-nucleotide ribosomal RNA is filed under the name Thyridariaceae sp. RNAcentral describes it as "partial small subunit ribosomal RNA". It matches the Rfam family "Eukaryotic small subunit ribosomal RNA", at positions 1351 to 1554 of the family's 1831-position model. Lineage: Eukaryota; Fungi; Ascomycota; Dothideomycetes; Pleosporales; Thyridariaceae. The record is from RNAcentral.
CAACAUCAGCUUAAGGUACGUGCUAAUCCCUUGGGUAACCAAGCCUCUGCGAUGAGACCCGACAGGUCGAAGCGCAUGGGAGCAGCAACGGUAAAACGUUGCUGCUGGAGUUGGGCUCUCUUGGAGGCUGCAACCCCCCCGAGAGAGCCCUCUAGAUGCUGUGAUGCCCUUAGAUAUUCUGGGCCGCACGCGCGCUACACUGACAGAGCCAACGAGUUCAUCACCUUGGCCGGAAGGUCUGGGUAAUCUUG